This 1581-nucleotide long non-coding RNA is filed under the name Gossypium barbadense (sea-island cotton). Its description in RNAcentral is "long non-coding RNA (GBAR_LNC003789)". Lineage: Eukaryota; Viridiplantae; Streptophyta; Magnoliopsida; Malvales; Malvaceae. The record is from RNAcentral.
GACUAUUUAUGUUUAUGAAUAAUAAUGAUAACAAACGAUGGCGACGAGGAUGAUGGCCCAUGUUCCACUCCAAUUAGAGCGAUUUUGAUGACAUUCCACGGUUAUUUUCUUCCCUUGUUCUUUAAGAAAGUUGAGUGCAUGGUAACAUGUUCGUUUAUUAUUGUUCCUGGCUAUAGUGGCCUAGUAACCAAGUGGAAAAUUUUCUCCCUACAAACUAGGUUAAGAAAUUGCGGGCAAUUUGAAGUUUGAAUCAAGGAACAUAGUUUUGUUGGUUCAUACAUUACAUUAAACAGGACUAGUUUUCGUUUUGCAAUGUGAUGAAGCCAUUUUGGUUAAUGUGUAAUAAAGAACAACUUCCGCUAUUAGAAAGGAUGAAUGGAUCAAUUAGUUUAAUUUUAGGGGAAGUAGUUUGUCAAUGAAGGUUUGAGAAAAUGUUAAGUUGAUCCACGCCCAUCCCUAGCAUAAGCAUGGUAACUAAAUGUGUUCAAUUAAAGAAACUUAUUCUCAAAAACAAAUAUUGUCUAAAUGCAUGGAGAAUCCGUUUGAGCCGAUUGCAGUGAUUUAAGCAUGGAAUAUGAACCAAGAAAAUCAAAGUAUUUAGGCAUAAUCUGAAUUGGGUAAAUGUGCAAGCAGGGCAGAGAGAGAGAGAGGGCCCAAAGGUGAUAUUGAAAGGGGUUAUCUGAAUCAUAGACAUAUUUCCAGGAAUGUCAUAGUGAUAAAAGGCCCAUUACAAAAUCCAAUGUUUUUUAGUCCAAACCUUAAAAGGGGAGUUGCAGCCCAUAUGUAAUUCCAGCUGCUUCCUUGACUUUUGAGUUCUGGCCAAUGAUUGACUUUUAGCCUGGCUGGCUAGGCUAAGUGGAACUCUGCGCCUUGGCGAAAUUUCCCGGACGUAAUACUAACAGAAGGAAAAUUUUGACAUGUAUCUGGAGACUAAGAUAAGAAGAUUUUUAAAAGUUAUGUAGGAAAGUUUCAUGUAGCUGUGAACCCCUUUCUUUCUCGUCCUUUUCCUCUUUUCGUACCGUACUUGUGCGCUACUUGUGGAACUUGAGAACCAAGCAAGUUUGUGGCAGCCACCCUGUACACAUUUCUUCCAUCCACCAAAAAAUCCCCAGUUUAACUUCGCAAUGUCACUAAUUUUCCUUCAUUUCAAACCAUCUAUCCAAUUCCAAUAUGAUGUUAACCUCCACAUUUUGCUCAUGGGAAUAACAAGGAACAUGUCAACUACCUUCCCAAGUAAUUUUCCACUUUAUUUGAAGAAUCAAUUUAUAUCUAGAUUAAAAACUUUAUAGGAUAAACAAUAGGCUGGAAUGUGAAUAGGAAGCUAACAAAAUAAUUUUGAGGGAAACUUCUUGGGGCUUUGCUUUGAAUGCAUGUAUAGUCCCCCCGCACCCCCAGGAUUUGCUUCAAUCUUUUUCAGUAAGAAAGACUUAAUAUUUUCUGUGCCCGAAACGUCUUGCCAUCUUGGUAUUUCCCAUUAACCUUUCUUUGUCGAGCCUACAAACAUCACGUCCCUAUCGGAAUAACUAGAAUCUUUGGGAAACAAUACAGCUACCUUAAUAUAGCUUAAAUUCAACUCUUUAC